RNAcentral lists this long non-coding RNA (374 nucleotides) under Lotus japonicus. RNAcentral describes it as "long non-coding RNA (LJAP_LNC001440)". Lineage: Eukaryota; Viridiplantae; Streptophyta; Magnoliopsida; Fabales; Fabaceae. The record is from RNAcentral.
ACCUAAAGAAAAAGGAGGAAACUGAGUGAGUGAGUAAGUGAGUAAGAAACAAUGGCUUCUGAAGAUGUGAAAGUUGGAGCAAACAAAUUCUCAGAGAGGCAUGCAUUGGGCACAGAAGCUCAGGGUGACAAGGACUACAAGGAGCCACCUCCAGCACCCUUGUUUGAGCCAGGGGAGCUGAAGUCAUGGUCAUUUUACAGAGCUGGAAUUGCUGAGUUUGUAGCCACCUUCUUGUUCCUCUACAUCACUGUCUUAACUGUCAUGGGUGUCAAUAGGUCACCCAACAAGUGUUCCUCUGUUGGCAUCCAAGGUAUUGCUUGGGCUUUUGGUGGCAUGAUCUUUGCCCUUGUCUACUGCACAGCUGGAAUAUCAGG